GAUGAAGAACGCAGCGAAAUGCGAUAAGUAGUGUGAAUUGCAGAAUUCAGUGAAUCAUCGAAUCUUUGAACGCACAUUGCGCCCCAUGGUAUUCCGUGGGGCAUGCCUGUUCGAGCGUCAUUUACCCCCUCAAGCUCCGCUUGGUGUUGGGCGUCUGUCCCGCUUCGCGCGCGGACUCGCCCCAAAGGUAUUGGCAGCGGUCGUGCCAGCUUCUCGCGCAGCACAUUGCGCUUCUCGAGGCACCGGUGGGCCCGCGCCCAUCAAGCUCACCCCCCCAGUUUGACCUCGGAUCAGGUAGGGAUACCCGCUGAACUUAAGCAUAUCAAUAAGCGGAGGA
This 337-nucleotide unclassified non-coding RNA is filed under the name soil metagenome. RNAcentral's name for it is "partial contains 5.8S ribosomal RNA, internal transcribed spacer 2, and large subunit ribosomal RNA". The stretch from base 1 to 120 matches the Rfam family "5.8S ribosomal RNA", at positions 35 to 154 of the family's 154-position model. The record is from RNAcentral.